CGACGAUCUGUAGCUGGUCUGAGAGGAUGAUCAGCCACACUGGGACUGAGACACGGCCCAGACUCCUACGGGAGGCAGCAGUGGGGAAUAUUGGACAAUGGGCGAAAGCCUGAUCCAGCCAUGCCGCGUGUGUGAAGAAGGCCUUUUGGUUGUAAAGCACUUUAAGUGGGGAGGAAAAGCUUAUGGUUAAUACCCAUAAGCCCUGACGUUACCCACAGAAUAAGCACCGGCUAACUCUGUGCCAGCAGCCGCGGUAAUACAGAGGGUGCAAGCGUUAAUCGGAAUUACUGGGCGUAAAGCGCGCGUAGGUGGUUAUUUAAGUCAGAUGUGAAAGCCCCGGGCUUAACCUGGGAACUGCAUCUGAUACUGGAUAACUAGAGUAGGUGAGAGGGGAGUAGAAUUCCAGGUGUAGCGGUGAAAUGCGUAGAGAUCUGGAGGAAUACCGAUGGCGAAGGCAGCUCCCUGGCAUCAUACUGACACUGAGGUGCGAAAGCGUGGGUAGCAAACAGGAUUAGAUACCCUGGUAGUCCACGCCGUAAACGAUGUCUACCAGUCGUUGGGUCUUUUAAAGACUUAGUGACGCAGUUAACGCAAUAAGUAGACCGCC
This 607-nucleotide ribosomal RNA is filed under the name uncultured Moraxella sp. Its description in RNAcentral is "bacterial SSU rRNA". It matches the Rfam family "Bacterial small subunit ribosomal RNA", at positions 274 to 873 of the family's 1533-position model. The record is from RNAcentral. Lineage: Bacteria; Pseudomonadati; Pseudomonadota; Gammaproteobacteria; Moraxellales; Moraxellaceae.